This 496-nucleotide ribosomal RNA is filed under the name uncultured bacterium. RNAcentral's name for it is "partial 16S ribosomal RNA". It matches the Rfam family "Bacterial small subunit ribosomal RNA", at positions 29 to 507 of the family's 1533-position model. The record is from RNAcentral.
ACGAACGCUGGCGGCGUGCCUAAUCCAUGCAAGUUGAGCGCUGAAGGUUGGUACUUGUACCAACUGGAUGAGCAGCGAACGGGUGAGUAACGCGUGGGGAAUCUGCCUUUGAGCGGGGGACAACAUUUGGAAACGAAUGCUAAUACCGCAUAAAAACUUUAAACACAAGUUUUAAGUUUGAAAGAUGCAAUUGCAUCACUCAAAGAUGAUCCCGCGUUGUAUUAGCUAGUUGGUGAGGUAAAGGCUCACCAAGGCGAUGAUACAUAGCCGACCUGAGAGGGUGAUCGGCCACAUUGGGACUGAGACACGGCCCAAACUCCUACGGGAGGCAGCAGUAGGGAAUCUUCGGCAAUGGACGAAAGUCUGACCGAGCAACGCCGCGUGAGUGAAGAAGGUUUUCGGAUUGUAAAACUCUGUUGGUAGAGAAGAACGUUGGUGAGAGUGGAAAGCUCAUCAAGUGACGGUAACUACCCAGAAAGGGACGGCUAACUACGUG